Molecule: ribosomal RNA, 253 nt
Filed under: uncultured bacterium
Lineage: Bacteria
Description: partial 16S ribosomal RNA
Rfam family: Bacterial small subunit ribosomal RNA
Source: RNAcentral
UACAGAGGUGGCAAGCGUUGUUCGGAAUUACUGGGCGUAAAGGGCGCGUAGGCGGUUCGUUAAGUCCUGUGUGAAAUCCCCCGGCUCAACUGGGGAACUGCACAGGAAACUAGCGGGCUUGAGUUCGGGAGAGGGAAGCGGAAUUCCGGUUGUAGCGGUGAAAUGCGUAGAUAUCCGGAGGACCACCGGUGGCGAAGGCGGCUUCCUGGACCGACACUGACGCUGAGGCGCGAAAGCUAGGGGAGCAAACGGG